CUUUUGAUCUCAGCCGUCCAUUUUGAUUUAAUCUGGACUGUCCGUUUUUUAUUGAAUCUGGGCCGUCCGUGCGAUUGCAUCUGGGCCGUCCGAUUGCACGUUUGAUCUGGGCCGUCCGAUCGCGCAUACGCGGAUCGCCAACGUGGCCCGUCCCGGAUCGACGUGGUCUUGCCACGUGGCAGGUUCCGGUUGGCCGGGACUGCUGACUGGGUCUGCUGACGUGGCUGCUGACGUGGCCCCCCC
Molecule: long non-coding RNA, 243 nt
Filed under: Carica papaya (papaya)
Lineage: Eukaryota; Viridiplantae; Streptophyta; Magnoliopsida; Brassicales; Caricaceae
Description: long non-coding RNA (CPAP_LNC002093)
Source: RNAcentral